Non-coding RNA from Xylariaceae sp. FL1019, 106 nucleotides. NCBI's taxonomy places the organism in Eukaryota, Fungi, Ascomycota, Sordariomycetes, Xylariales, Xylariaceae. The record is from the annotation of a GenBank genome assembly.
GGUCGGUUAGCUCAGUUGGUAGAGCAUCGCAAUUACACUGCCACUCUUAUGAGUAUGAGGCACAGGAUUACUGCGAAGGCCAUAGGUUCAAGCCCUAUACUGACCA